UACGUAGGGUGCGAGCGUUGCCCGGAAUUAUUGGGCGUAAAGAGCUCGUAGGCGGUUUGUUGCGUUGGCUGUGAAAUCCCGAGGCUCAACCUCGGGUCUGCAGUCGAUACGAGCAAACUAGAGUGUUGCAGGGGAGACUGGAAUUCCUGGUGUAGCGGUGAAAUGCGCAGAUAUCAGGAGGAACACCGGUGGCGAAGGCGGGUCUCUGGGCAACAACUGACGCUGAGGAGCGAAAGCGUGGGGAGCGAACAGG
RNAcentral lists this ribosomal RNA (253 nucleotides) under uncultured bacterium. Its description in RNAcentral is "partial 16S ribosomal RNA". It matches the Rfam family "Bacterial small subunit ribosomal RNA", at positions 524 to 776 of the family's 1533-position model. The record is from RNAcentral.